Non-coding RNA from Lolium perenne, 3400 nucleotides. The record is from RefSeq and is a predicted model, not a curated record. NCBI's taxonomy places the organism in Eukaryota, Viridiplantae, Streptophyta, Magnoliopsida, Poales, Poaceae.
UCUGGAUCGUUCGUUUUGCGAUACACAGUAAAUUCUGAAACCCACUUUUCAUCUCAGCCGUCGGAUGCAGUAAUGUUUUUCCUACCGGAUGCUGUCUGUUCUGGGUGCAUGACGGCUGGGACCAUGCAUGCGUGGGGCCGUUUGUUUGAGACAACCAAAGUUGGGGCUCGCGUCGCUCAGAAAAUCGAAGACGGUAGAAACCCUAGCCAACCAAAAUCCUCCUCCUCUCCCCAAUCCCGUGCCUCCCGUCCUCCCCCAAUCCCCGCCUCAUCUCACCUCUUCCUCCUCGCUCCCGCCCCUCGACUCCGCCAGCCGCCGAGUCGCCGCCGCCGCCGAGUUCUCCUCCCCCAACCCGCGCCGCCGGGGUCAGCCCGAGUGAUGGAGGUGCAUGCAGGGGGUCACCACGGCUUGGGCAGCCGAUUCGGGUGGUGGCGUCGGUGGUGGCGGGUGGAGGUGAGGCGGGAGCGGCCGGAGAUAGGAUCGCGGGGGGCGGAUCUACGGCGGCGACUGGAGGCGCCGGGUACGGCGGAGACGGGCCAGUGCAGGGUGGAUCUGCUCCGGCGACCACCGGAGGUGACGGGCUCGCGCGGGGCGGAUCCACGGAGCUACUUCUCUCGCUGCCUCGAAUCGUCCAUGGCCCGGACGAGCGGAAGGGCCGCCACUCGUCUCGCCGCCUCGCAUCGUCGCGAGGAGCUGUCUUCGCCUCUCUUUCAGCUGCUAUGGUACGCGAAAGAUCCGCCACCCUCCUCCCAGUUUUGUCCGUCCAUGGCCUGGUCAUCCCAUUCCCCUUUAUAUAUCUCUCUCUCUCAACUGCUUGGGAGGGAAGAAGGUGUUGGUGUUCAAGAGAUGGGGAGAUGGGGUGGCUGCUGGGAUUCGUUCACAUCCAUGGCUCUGUACCAAAAAUCCCCAAACCCUAGGUUAUUUCUGCAUGUUCAGGCCAUGAAUCGUCUCCUUCUCUGAAAUGGUGGGCUUUCUCCAAUUGAUCAUAUGCUAUUCUUGCUUUAGCUAAAGAUUGCAAGUUGUUGUCCGCUGCAGGAGACAGACUCUAGCCUCCAUUCUCGCUUCAUUAAAUUGCCGGCGCAAUGCAGAGCUAGCUCCAAUUAUAAUAUUAUAUGCAGUUUGUUUUGUCAAAUUGUUUCCUGGUUUGAGGCUGAAGAUGUGCACACUAAUUAUUUCUAUAGAUGUCAGGCGUAAAAGACUAUUGAUUGGAUGACAAUAGGAGGACAAGAGAUGCCACAUUACCUCCUUGGCCCUCCUUGGCCUCUUUUCCCGUAAAGGAUCUGCAGGUUCUCUCUGUCUUUUUGGUCAGUAACUCUGACAUGUUUACCAUAGCUACAUGUAGUCUUAUAGAUCUAAGAAUUUAUUUUAAUUAGAAAAAGCACUACUUUAUAGUGCUAUUGUUGGCUCAGUAAUGGUGCCUUUCAACCUCUGACACAUACUAUUUCCUUUACAUGCUUAUUAUUGACUUGCAUGGAAAGAUCAAGAUUAUGCCAGACCAUAAAGUUAUUUGGCUGAAUCCUCUUAUAUGAAGCAAGUGCACUGUGCAGAUUACAUAUACGUUUUGGACAUGGAGCCACAUUCAUUGCCAAUAAGAUCAUUUUCUGCAUCCACUAUCGGCGAUCGAAGAGGCAUACGUUGAGUUUGGGUGCCCAGGAGACGGCAACGUUGGUGUCCAUGUGUCCUGCUGCAGGUGUUGCCGCUUCUGAAGCGAUGGAGAGGAGCAACGGAUGAUAGCUUGGGGAUACUUGAUAGCUAAGAUCACGUGUGCACAGAUGAACUGCAAAUGACAAUCAAUUAGGAAGUUUGGACAUUUGCUGCAAGCUGUUAGCCAUCGUGGCCCUAAGCACCAGGUGAAACAAGAAGCUUGGUGGUUGGUCAUGGGGAAUGUUGCAGGCUUGGAGCUAUAUGGUCUGAAGAGAAUUAGUUCUGCAGAUUGUAUGCUUAACACUCGCAUACAAUUGCCACAUACGUGCCAUGCCCAGAGACUGUCAUUGAGCUCCUCAAAUCACUAGCUGAUGAGGGAAGCAGGGGUACAUGGAUGCUAGGAUGGAGGCAACAAAGAAUUGUUCUCAGUUGGAAGGUGUCAUUUUAAUGAUAUCAUAUAGUUGAGUACCUCCUUUCUCUUCCCUUCAGCAAUGCAGCGCCAGAGUCUAAGCUUGUAACCGGAUGCUUUCCCUUGAGUCUCGGACAGAUGCUUACUGAAGUACGACCUGAAGAGAAAACGAAUGUUCCAGCACUGAAGCUCCAGCUGAAGACGGCAAUGAUGUCAUUGAGCUUCCUCAUGUACCUUUUAAAGCACUACAGAUGCAAUAAGCUCCAAGGAUAACAGUUUUGGGAGAGGCAGUACCUACUUAGUCGGACGGAACCGACCCGAACAGUACAAGUCCUGCAGUUUUGGAGGAGCUGUAAAAUAUCUACCAUUUGAUUGUGCUAUUUUAUUUCAGUUAUUUCAUUAUUUUUAGUGUAUGCCUAUUGUACAUUCAGUAGUCUUGGCCUAAAUUAUGGCACCGGUGUCCUAUUGUCUCUUGAUUGUCACUUUAGACUGAUUUGCACUUGCAGCAUACUGUAUGUAUGCAGAACCUCGUCUCCUCAAGAUGGCUGCAGUUAACCUAGAUAAUACAACCUCAAGCGACGCCGGCAACAAACACCCCCAACUAGGAUUCGGCUGUCCAGAAGAUUCAGAGACAGUGACAACGGCCAUCUGCAGAACAGGCAGGAAACACAUGAUCAUUGAUGUUCAGCUUGAUUACCACAACAACAGAGUUUAUUCUUUGUGCGAAGUGUUGCGCAUCACUAUGCCUCCCUCCACAUCAAGUGCAUCAAGGUAGAGCAUCACUUUGUUUUUGUGCGGAAGGAAGAGCAUUAGUUUAUAAGCAGAGCAAGGAUUUAGGAUGAUAAUGUUGUAGAUGCCAACGAUGAGGAUUAUUGAUGUGUAUAUUGUGCCACAUUCAAAAUUAUUUUCUAAACUGCAUGUUCAUAGACGGUGAUCACUAGCUUGCCACCGCAUGAAGGACCUAACCUGAGCUUUCACGCGCUUGAUGAACAAUUUGACCUGUUAGAUAAAGUUUUGAAUACAUGGGAUAACAUGGUUGGUGUUGAGCACUUGGAAGAGGAUUCUGAUGGCAAGGCGAGACUGAAGGCUCGGCAUUCUGCUGGAUAAAUGAGCGCCUCCCGGAGAGGGUGUGGAAUGGUCUACAUGGAGUACAGGUGCUGCCUCGCUGUAUUUCCAUUUGAUUUUUGCCUCUAUACUGUAAUUUCAUUGUAGUUUGUUUUCUGAAUGCUUACGUGCGAGAGGAGUGAAGAAGGACCCAGCUAAGAGGCAUCAGCUAAGCUGUAUAAGACACAUUGCACUUAGUGGUUCUGUUAGUAUGGCAUCUGCUGUAUUUGCUUUGCUGGGACA